RNAcentral lists this ribosomal RNA (427 nucleotides) under uncultured bacterium. Its description in RNAcentral is "bacterial SSU rRNA". It matches the Rfam family "Bacterial small subunit ribosomal RNA", at positions 355 to 774 of the family's 1533-position model. The record is from RNAcentral.
UGGGGAAUUUUGGACAAUGGGCGAAAGCCUGAUCCAGCCAUGCCGCGUGAGUGAAGAAGGCCUUCGGGUUGUAAAGCUCUUUCAGCCGGAAAGAAAUCGCGCAGGAUAAUACUCUGCGUGGAUGACGGUACCGGAAGAAGAAGCACCGGCUAACUACGUGCCAGCAGCCGCGGUAAUACGUAGGGUGCGAGCGUUAAUCGGAAUUACUGGGCGUAAAGCGUGCGCAGGCGGUUAUAUAAGACAGAUGUGAAAUCCCCGGGCUCAACCUGGGACCUGCAUUUGUGACUGUAUAGCUAGAGUACGGUAGAGGGGGAUGGAAUUCCGCGUGUAGCAGUGAAAUGCAUAGAUAUGUCACAGAACACCGAUUGCGAAGGCAGCUUACUAUGGUUUUAUUGACGCUGAGGCACGAAAGCGUGGGGAUCAAACA